RNAcentral lists this ribosomal RNA (373 nucleotides) under uncultured bacterium. Its description in RNAcentral is "bacterial SSU rRNA". It matches the Rfam family "Bacterial small subunit ribosomal RNA", at positions 525 to 896 of the family's 1533-position model. The record is from RNAcentral.
ACGGAGGAUGCAAGCGUUAUCCGGAAUGAUUGGGCGUAAAGCGUCUGUAGGUGGUUCAGUAAGUCUCCUGUUAAAGAUCAGGGCUUAACCCUGAGUCGGCAGUAGAAACUACUGAGCUUGAGUACGGUAGGGGCAGAGGGAAUUCCCGGUGUAGCGGUGAAAUGCGUAGAGAUCGGGAAGAACACCAAUGGCGAAAGCACUCUGCUGGGCCGAAACUGACACUCAGAGACGAAAGCUAGGGGAGCGAAUGGGAUUAGAUACCCCAGUAGUCCUAGCCGUAAACGAUGGAUACUAAGUGCUGUGCGACUCAAAACGGACAGUACUGUAGCUAACGCGUGAAGUAUCCCGCCUGGGGAGUAUGCUCGCAAGAGUG